GCGACGGUGGUAUAAUGGUUAGCAUAGCUGCCAUCUAAGCAGUUGACCCGGGUUCAAUUCCCGGUCGUUGCA
RNAcentral lists this transfer RNA (72 nucleotides) under Cordylochernes scorpioides. Its description in RNAcentral is "tRNA-Arg". It matches the Rfam family "tRNA". From Rfam's summary of the family: Transfer RNA (tRNA) molecules are approximately 80 nucleotides in length. Their secondary structure includes four short double-helical elements and three loops (D, anti-codon, and T loops). The record is from RNAcentral. Lineage: Eukaryota; Metazoa; Arthropoda; Arachnida; Pseudoscorpiones; Chernetidae.